This 492-nucleotide ribosomal RNA is filed under the name uncultured bacterium. Its description in RNAcentral is "partial 16S ribosomal RNA". It matches the Rfam family "Bacterial small subunit ribosomal RNA", at positions 29 to 507 of the family's 1533-position model. The record is from RNAcentral.
AGUGAACGCUGGCGGUAGGCCUAACACAUGCAAGUCGAACGGCAGCACAGUAAGAGCUUGCUCUUACGGGUGGCGAGUGGCGGACGGGUGAGGAAUACAUCGGAAUCUACCUUUUCGUAGGGGAUAACGUAGGGAAACUUACGCUAAUACCGCAUACGACCUACGGGUGAAAGCAGGGGAUCUUCGGACCUUGCGCGAUUGAAUGAGCCGAUGUCGGAUUAGCUAGUUGGCGGGGUAAAGGCCCACCAAGGCGACGAUCCGUAGCUGGUCUGAGAGGAUGAUCAGCCACACUGGAACUGAGACACGGUCCAGACUCCUACGGGAGGCAGCAGUGGGGAAUAUUGGACAAUGGGCGCAAGCCUGAUCCAGCCAUACCGCGUGGGUGAAGAAGGCCUUCGGGUUGUAAAGCCCUUUUGUUGGGAAAGAAAAGCAGCAGGUUAAUACCCCGCUGUCCUGACGGUACCCAAAGAAUAAGCACCGGCUAACUUCGUG